AUUGAACGCUGGCGGCAGGCCUAACACAUGCAAGUCGAGCGGCAGCGGGAAAGUAGCUUGCUACUUUUGCCGGCGAGCGGCGGACGGGUGAGUAAUGCCUGGGAAAUUGCCCAGUCGAGGGGGAUAACAGUUGGAAACGACUGCUAAUACCGCAUAUGCCCUACGGGGGAAAGCAGGGGACCUUCGGGCCUUGCGCGAUUGGAUAUGCCCAGGUGGGAUUAGCUAGUUGGUGAGGUAAUGGCUCACCAAGGCGACGAUCCCUAGCUGGUCUGGGAGGAUGAUCGGCCACACUGGAACUGAGACACGGUCCAGACUCCUACGGGAGGCAGCAGUGGGGAAUAUUGCACAAUGGGGGAAACCCUGAUGCAGCCAUGCCGCGUGUGUGAAGAAGGCCUUCGGGUUGUAAAGCACUUUCAGCGAGGAGGAAAGGUUGAUGCCUAAUACGUAUCAACUGUGACGUUACUCGCAGAAGAAGCACCGGCUAACUCCGUGCCAGCCGCCGCCGUAA
RNAcentral lists this ribosomal RNA (508 nucleotides) under uncultured bacterium. RNAcentral's name for it is "partial 16S ribosomal RNA". It matches the Rfam family "Bacterial small subunit ribosomal RNA", at positions 30 to 523 of the family's 1533-position model. The record is from RNAcentral.